CUGGGAUAACUCCGGGAAACCGGGGCUAAUACCGGAUAACAUUUUGAACCGCAUGGUUCGAAAUUGAAAGGCGGCUUCGGCUGUCACUUAUGGAUGGACCCGCGUCGCAUUAGCUAGUUGGUGAGGUAACGGCUCACCAAGGCAACGAUGCGUAGCCGACCUGAGAGGGUGAUCGGCCACACUGGGACUGAGACACGGCCCAGACUCCUACGGGAGGCAGCAGUAGGGAAUCUUCCGCAAUGGACGAAAGUCUGACGGAGCAACGCCGCGUGAGUGAUGAAGGCUUUCGGGUCGUAAAACUCUGUUGUUAGGGAAGAACAAGUGCUAGUUGAAUAAGCUGGCACCUUGACGGUACCUAACCAGAAAGCCACGGCUAACUACGUGCCAGCAGCCGCGGUAAUACGUAGGUGGCAAGCGUUAUCCGGAAUUAUUGGGCGUAAAGCGCGCGCAGGUGGUUUCUUAAGUCUGAUGUGAAA
RNAcentral lists this ribosomal RNA (476 nucleotides) under Bacillus cereus. RNAcentral's name for it is "bacterial SSU rRNA". It matches the Rfam family "Bacterial small subunit ribosomal RNA", at positions 138 to 599 of the family's 1533-position model. The record is from RNAcentral. Lineage: Bacteria; Bacillati; Bacillota; Bacilli; Caryophanales; Bacillaceae.